AUACGGAGGGUGCAGGCGUUGUUCGGAAUUAUUGGGCGUAAAGCGCGUGUAGGCGGUUGGUUAAGUCUGAUGUGAAAGCCCUGGGCUCAACCCGGGAAGUGCAUUGGAAACUGGCUGACUUGAGUACGGGAGAGGGUAGUGGAAUUUCGAGUGUAGGGGUGAAAUCCGUAGAUAUUCGAAGGAACACCGGUGGCGAAGGCGGCUACCUGGACCGAUACUGACGCUGAGACGCGAAAGCGUGGGGAGC
RNAcentral lists this ribosomal RNA (247 nucleotides) under uncultured bacterium. RNAcentral describes it as "partial 16S ribosomal RNA". It matches the Rfam family "Bacterial small subunit ribosomal RNA", at positions 523 to 769 of the family's 1533-position model. The record is from RNAcentral.